Molecule: transfer RNA, 65 nt
Filed under: Pagetodes antarcticus
Lineage: Eukaryota; Metazoa; Chordata; Actinopteri; Perciformes; Channichthyidae
Description: tRNA-Cys
Source: RNAcentral
AGCUCCGAAGUGUUAUCAUGUCAGACUGCAAAUCUGAAGAAGCAGACUAACGUCUACCGGGGCUU